AUUGAACGCUGGCGGCAUGCCUAACACAUGCAAGUCGAGCGGAUGAAGCGAGCUUGCUCCUGGAUUCAUCGGCGGACGGGUGAGUACUGCCUAGGAAUCUGCCUGGUCUCGGGGGAUAACGUCCGGAUACGGGCGCUAAUCUUCCAUACGUCCUGAGGUAGCAUGUGGGGGGGCUUCGGACCUCUCGCUAUCAGAUUAGCCUAGGUCGGAUUAGCUAGUAGGUGGGGUAACGGGCUACAAAGGCGACGAUCCGUAACUGGUAUGAGAGGAAGGUCAGUCACACGGGAACGGAGACACGGUCCAGACUCCUACGGGAGGACGCAGUGGGGAAUAUUGGACGAGGGGCGAAAGGCUAAUACAGGCAAGCCGCGGGUGUGAAGAAGGUCUUAGGAUUGUAAAGCACUUUAAGUUGGGGGGAAGGACAGUAAGUUUAUACCUGGCGAUUUUGACGGUACCGACAGAAUAAGCACCGGCUAACUUCGUG
RNAcentral lists this ribosomal RNA (484 nucleotides) under uncultured bacterium. Its description in RNAcentral is "partial 16S ribosomal RNA". It matches the Rfam family "Bacterial small subunit ribosomal RNA", at positions 30 to 507 of the family's 1533-position model. The record is from RNAcentral.